ACUGGGAGAAGCUAUACGUGGACCAGCCGGCCGGCACGCCCCUGCUCUAUGUCCAUGCCCUGCAGGACGUGCCAGAGGAGAUGCCCAGCUUCCGCCUGGGCUAGCACCUCUACAGCGCCUACCACACGCGGCUGCACGAGAAUGACUGGGUCCGCAUCCAGGAGGACACGGGGCUUCUCUACCUUAACCAGAGCCUGGACCACAGCUCCUGGGAGAAGCUCAACAUCCGCAAGGGCGGCUUCCCGCUGCUUACCAUCUACCUGCGGGUCUUCCUGUCACCCACAUCCCUACGUGAGGGCGAGUGCCAGUGGCCAGGCUGUGCCCGAGUGUACUUCUCCAUCAUCAAUGCCUCCUUCCCAGCUUGCGGCGCCCUCAAGCCCCGGGAGCUCUGCUUCCCUGAGUCAGGCCUGUCCUUCCGCAUCCGGGAGAACAGGCCCCCUGGCACCUUCCACCAGUUCUGCCUGCUGCCCGUGCAGUUCCUCUGCCCCAACGUCAGUGUGGCCUACAGGCUCCUGGGAGGUGAGAGUCUGCCUUUCCGCUGCGAUC
Molecule: long non-coding RNA, 546 nt
Organism: Cervus elaphus (red deer)
Lineage: Eukaryota; Metazoa; Chordata; Mammalia; Artiodactyla; Cervidae
Exons: 3
Source: RefSeq, a predicted model, not a curated record